AGUGAACGCUGGCGGUAGGCCUAACACAUGCAGGUCGAACGGCAGCACAGUAAGAGCUUGCUCUUACGGGUGGCGAGUGGCGGACGGGUGAGGAAUACAUCGGAAUCUACUUUUUCGUGGGGGAUAACGUAGGGAAACUUACGCUAAUACCGCAUACGACCUACGGGUGAAAGCAGGGGAUCUUCGGACCUUGCGCGAUUGAAUGGGCCGAUGUCGGAUUAGCUAGUUGGCGGGGUAAAGGCCCACCAAGGCGACGAUCCGUAGCUGGUCUGAGAGGAUGAUCAGCCACACUGGAACUGAGACACGGUCCAGACUCCUACGGGAGGCAGCAGUGGGGAAUAUUGGACAAUGGGCGCAAGCCUGAUCCAGCCAUACCGCGUGGGUGAAGAAGGCCUUCGGGUUGUAAAGCCCUUUUGUUGGGAAAGAAAGGCAGCAGGUUAAUACCCCGCUGUUCUGACGGUACCCAAAGAAUAAGCACCGGCUAACUUCGUG
Molecule: ribosomal RNA, 492 nt
Filed under: uncultured bacterium
Lineage: Bacteria
Description: partial 16S ribosomal RNA
Rfam family: Bacterial small subunit ribosomal RNA
Source: RNAcentral